Molecule: ribosomal RNA, 492 nt
Filed under: uncultured bacterium
Lineage: Bacteria
Description: partial 16S ribosomal RNA
Rfam family: Bacterial small subunit ribosomal RNA
Source: RNAcentral
AGUGAACGCUGGCGGCAGGCCUAACACAUGCAAGUCGAACGGCAGGACAGUAAGCGCUUGCUCUUACCGGUGGCGAGUGGCGGACGGGUGAGGAAUACAUCGGCAUCUUCUUUUUCGUGGGUGAUAACGGAGGGCAACUUACGCUACUACAGCAUACGACCUACCGGUGGAAGCAGUGGAUCUUUGGGGCUUUUGCGAUUGAUUUAGCCGAUGUCGGAUUAGAUUGUUGGCAGGGUAAAGUCCCACCAAGGCGACGAUCCGUAGCGUGUCUGAGAGGAUGAUCGGCCACACUGGAACUGAGACACGGUCCAGACUCCUACGGGAGGCAGCAGUGGGGAAUAUUGGGCAAUGGGCGCAAGCCUGACCCAGCCACACCGCGUGAGUGAAGAAGGCCUUCGGGUUGUAAAGCCCUUUUGUUGGGAAAGAAAAGCAGCAGGUUAAUACCCCGCUGUUCUGACGGUACCCAAAGAAUAAGCACCGGCUAACUUCGUG